Molecule: long non-coding RNA, 219 nt
Filed under: Phoenix dactylifera (date palm)
Lineage: Eukaryota; Viridiplantae; Streptophyta; Magnoliopsida; Arecales; Arecaceae
Description: long non-coding RNA (PDAC_LNC012683)
Source: RNAcentral
AGCACUUAUCAAUAUUUUUAAACUGAUAAAUACAUAUUUUACCAUGAAAUUGAACAAACAUUGAAGUAAGUUUAAAAUAUGGUAAUUAUUCUCUUAAACUAGAUUCUGAACUUGUCUCUCUCUUGUUUGCAAUCUUUCAUGAAAAUUUCAUAAAAACAUAUAAGGAGGAGAUUGUGUUGACCCGAUUUGGUAACCUGAUAGAGUUGUAAUCAAGCUAAA